This 305-nucleotide ribosomal RNA is filed under the name uncultured bacterium. RNAcentral's name for it is "bacterial SSU rRNA". It matches the Rfam family "Bacterial small subunit ribosomal RNA", at positions 339 to 641 of the family's 1533-position model. The record is from RNAcentral.
GGGUACGGAGGCAGCAGUGAGGAAUAUUGGUCAAUGGCCGAAGGGCUGAACCAGCCAAGCCGCGUGAAGGAAUAAGGCCCUACGGGUCGUAAACUUCUUUAGUCAGGGAACAAAGGGUGCCACGUGUGGCGCUGUGAGUGUACCUGAAGAAUAAGCAUCGGCUAACUCCGUGCCAGCAGCCGCGGUAAUACGGAGGAUGCGAGCGUUAUCCGGAUUUAUUGGGUUUAAAGGGUGCGCAGGCGGCGAGUUAAGUCAGCGGUAAAAUUUCGGGGCUCAACCCCGACAAGCCGUUGAAACUGGCUUGC